This 440-nucleotide ribosomal RNA is filed under the name uncultured bacterium. Its description in RNAcentral is "partial 16S ribosomal RNA". It matches the Rfam family "Bacterial small subunit ribosomal RNA", at positions 338 to 795 of the family's 1533-position model. The record is from RNAcentral.
CCUACGGGAGGCAGCAGUGGGGAAUAUUGCACAAUGGGGGAAACCCUGAUGCAGCGACGCCGCGUGAGUGAAGAAGUAAUUCGUUAUGUAAAGCUCUAUCAGCAGGGAAGAAAAUGACGGUACCUGAGUAAGAAGCCCCGGCUAACUACGUGCCAGCAGCCGCGGUAAUACGUAGGGGGCAAGCGUUAUCCGGAUUUACUGGGUGGAAAGGGAGCGUAGACGGCAGUGCAAGUCUGGAGUGAAAGGCGGGGGCUCAACCCCCGGACUGCUCUGGAAACUGUACGGCUGGAGUGCAGGAGAGGGAAGUGGAAUUCCUAGUGUAGCGGUGAAAUGCGUAGAUAGUAGGAGGAACACCAGUGGCGAAGGCGGCUUACUGGACUGUAACUGACGUUGAGGCUCGAAAGCGUGGGGAGCAAACAGGAUUAGAUACCCCGGUAGUC